Molecule: long non-coding RNA, 476 nt
Organism: Corapipo altera (White-ruffed manakin)
Lineage: Eukaryota; Metazoa; Chordata; Aves; Passeriformes; Pipridae
Exons: 3
Source: RefSeq, a predicted model, not a curated record
CGCCCGGCGGCGGCACCGGCGACACCGGGCACCGAGAGCGGACACGGCCCCGGGCAGCGCCCGGGCACGGCGGGGGCAGCGGGAAUGGCAGAGGGGAGGGAACAACAUAUUCUGCACAGGAAGAGCCCAUUCAGAAGAGACCUGCCUCAGAAAUCCCCAAACUCAAACCAAACCACCGAAAGCACUGAGAAAACAGCAAUUUAACACUUCUGUAUCUGUGCCUUGCAUCACACACAACCUGAUGUCACAUCCUGCAGCACAAACCCACCCUGUGCAGACAAAACCUCAGCUGGCUGCAGCUGCACCAGUGAGGAACAGCAGCACAGGCUUCAGGCAGCUCAUGCACAUCACCCAGGACUGUGACCUGCUCUCGUGACAUUGUCACUGGGACAACUGAGGGUGGACAGGAAGCAAAGUGAUAGUUGUUUAGGACAGGGUGGCACAUGCAAGGUGUAUUUCCACGGAACUCACUUUUU